CGCAGCAAGGAAGCCCUCCCUCAGCAAAAUCUCUUCUACUGCAACAAGAAACCCUCACCUUAACCCUUUUUCAAUCUUCGAUUCUCUCUCUAGAUCAUCACUUCCAACGAUUUCAUCCUUUUCCCUCACCUUCCACUCACGGUAGACCAUCGGCAUAGCUAUACUGUUGCCAUAUCAGACCACUGCCAUACGACUGAUGAAGAGCUUUUUCUGAAUGAACACUGUGACAGCUGCUACUCCGGCUGUUAUUGAAGCCCUAAACAGCAGCAUAAACAGCAGCACAUUUAGUGGAUGUGGCCCUUUCUUUCACUCUUAUCUUCAAGUUCCCUGAAGCAUAAACAGCAGCAGUUGAUUGGAAACUUUGUCUUGAUCACCGUAAGUCACUUGUUGGCCUCUUUGUCCUACACUAGUAUAAAAGACUUGGGACUUGGAUAAUUACUCUAUUCUGGGCAUUCCAUUUCCCUAAAGAAUGUCUUGCAUUUUGUUUCUUCGACAAUUUGGUUUUGCCUGGAUCCAGGUACGUACUUGUUUCUUCAAUAAUUGGGUUUCUUUGAUGACUAAAAUUGGUACAUACGCAAUGCAUUUAGAAAAUAAAAGUAAAAUAAAAUAACAAAAGAUUUUGGGAUUGUUGAUUUGUGCUUAGUGGAAGGACACGUUGUUUAGUUGAUAAAAAGGAACAGGGCAAGGGUUUCAGGUCUUGGAUUUAGAAAGUUACUAGUUAGUUUGUUCUCUACCCCGUUAGGUUAUAACACUCCAUUUUAGGUGGACUCCUUGGAGAAGGUGGGAUUGUUUAUGUUAUUUAUGAUUGUUACUGAAGAAAUAGGUAUCGUUUAGUCUUGGCGUUCUCUUAGUGAAAUAUAUAAUUUCUAUUUCUAAAAUGUCAUUUUUUAGCUAAAUUGUGUUAUUGUUUGAUUAAUAAUAGCCAUUUAUAGUUUUUUCCUUCUUUUGUUUAAUUUACACUUAAAUUUUCUAGUUAAAUAAAAUACAAAUUUGACACUACAAUCCAAAAUGUAGAUACACAGGUUUGACUAAUGAGGUAUCUGCCAUUGCACAUUGCAAUUGCAAUGAGAAAUAGUAAUCGCAAUGCGACCAGCUGUGAACCAAACUGAAACCCUCGUAAAGCUGAACUCCCGAAUUGCACAACUUACCCGCUCACACCAAAACUCAGAAGCCCUACAACUCUUCAACCAAAUUCAUUCCGCUAGCCACCAUAGACCUGACAAAUAUACCCUUACCAGUGCCCUCUCCGCUUGUGCCAACCUCCAAGAUAUUGUAGCCGGAGACCAGCUUCAUGCCUAUGUCAUCCGUGCUGGUUUCAGAGACUACACCCACAUCGGCAACACCCUCCUUUCACUCUAUGCGAAAUUGAAUGAUCUAAACUCUGUAAGCCGAGUUUUUAAUGAUAUCACAGCCCCCGAUGCCUAUACAUGGACCACUCUCCUGUCGGCAUAUACCAAGUUGGGCCAAGUCAACCAUGCUUGCCAGUUGUUCAAUGAAAUGCCUCAAGCUCAGGGAAAUGUUUCCGUUUGGAAUUCCAUGAUUACAGGUUGUGUGGAGAAUGGGCAUCAAGAGGUUGCCUUUGUCAUGUUCCGUCAAAUGCAUUUUCUGGGCAUUAGACAUGAUAACUACACUUUUGCUAGCAUCCUCAGUGCAUGCGAUUCCUCAGAGCUGCUUGAUUUCGGGAGGCAAGUGCAUUCAUUGGUAAUUAGAACAGGAUUUCUGUUAAGGUUGUCCGUGCUUAAUGCUCAGCUUACAAUGUAUUUCAACUGUGGGAUGGUUGAGGAUGCAAUUAUGUUAUUCGAAGAGACUGAAUCAACAAAGCGUAACCAGAUUACUUGUAAUGCCAUGAUAGCAGGGUUGGCAAGCAGAGGAAGAGAUGUGGAAGCUUUGAUGAUAUUCAAGGAGAUGCAAGAAAAUCACCUUGUGCCCAAUGAGCGAACUUUUACGAGUGUUAUCUCCUCAUGCUCAUCUACAGGAAUGGUGAAACUUGGUCAUCAACUACAUGCUUUAGCCAUUAAGAUGGGCUUUCAAACUUGUACCUAUGUGAACAAUGCCAUGAUAACCAUGUAUUCUAUUUGUGGGGACCUUGGUGCAGCUUCCAUUGUUUUCGAGACCUUGGAGUGUAAGGAUCCAAUCUCAUGGAAUUCGAUGAUUACUGGUUAUGCUCAAGGGAAUUUGCAAACAUCAGCCAUCAUGGUCUACAUGCAAAUGCAGAGGGCAGGGAUUCAGCCAGAUGAAUUUACUGUAGGAAGCCUAGUGGCAAACUCUGAUUGUCUAGAAUUCAUUGAGAUGAUGCAAGCCACAAUGGUUAAAAAUCGACUCAUCCAAAACAACCAAGUAUGCAAUGCCUUGAUUUCAGUAUAUUCUAAGCAUGCCCAGAUGAAGCAGGCUUUUCGGAUCUUUGAUGCAAUGCUCUCAAGAAAUUUGAUCUCCUGGAAUACAGUUAUGUGUGGUUGCCUGUAUAAUGGUUUGCCUAACCUGGGAUUAGAUCUAUUCCAUAAGUUGCAGAUAUCUGAACUCAAGCCAGAUUUGUACUCUCUCAGUAUUGUUUUAAGUAUUUGUGCUAAUAGAUCAAUUUUGAGACAUGGGAAACAGGUCCAUGCCUACAUUAUCAGAGCUGGGUUUGGUUUGGAAACACCUUUGGGCAAUACACUAAUUUCAUUCUAUGCAGAAUGUGGGGAUUUAGAUUGGUCAGCUAAAGUGUUCAGUGGGAUGAUGGAAAGAGACAUUGUAUCUUGGAAUGCCAUGAUUUCUGCCUAUGCACAUCAUGGAGAAGGCAAAAAAGCUAUUGCAUGCUUUAAGAAAAUGUGGGAAUCGGGUGAAAAACUGGAUCAGACAACCUUCACUGCAGUUCUGUCUGCCUGUAGUCAUGCUGGUUUGGUUGAUGAUGGCCGUCUAAUUUUUGCUUCCAUGAUGGAUCAUCAUGGCAUAAGUCCUGGGGUAGAUCACUAUUCUUGCAUUAUUGACCUUCUUGGCCGAGCUGGGCACCUUGAUGAAGCUGAAAGACUAAUAAAUACCAUGCCUUUUCAAGCAGAUCCCAAGAUCUGGUGGGCGAUACUUAGCUCUUGUCAAAUUCAUGGUAAUGCAAGGUUAGGAAGGAUUGCAGCAGGAUUUCUUCUAGAAAUUGAAACAGAAAAUCCUGCUGUUUAUGUUCUGUUAUCAAAUAUUAUUGCAGCAACCGGCCAUUGGGAAGAAGCUGCAAAUAUACGGGAGUUGAUGAGGAAGAAUAGGAUGAUAAAGCAACCAGGAUGCAGUUGGGUUGAAUGACAGGAUGUCAAAGCAUAUACCAUUAGUUCUGAGCUGGUAGGGAUGCGGUUUUCUUUGUACUUAGCUCAAGCUAUAGAUCACAUUCAUUGUAAAAUCAAUCAUCAAAUCUAGAUAACAAAACACUAUUUAUAUUCUUUUUCAGAACCAAAGAAAAAUCAGUCUAAAGUACUAGAUUCCAUGGCAAUAAAGAUCCUCUUGCAAAAGGAAAUUACUUUUCAGUUUUCUUUUAGGUUGUGCAUUUAAUAAUUGAAAAUAGAAAUCAUUACGUUAGACCAAAUUUCCAUAAUUCCAGGUGAAAAUUAAUGUAUUACGUUAGGCACUUAUGCUUGAAUCUAGCAACCUUUGAGAUUCUUCUGGGACUGAGUGCUAUUGAAAGGAGCACCUUUUGAUACCAGGGGAAGGGGAAGGUUCAAAACAUUGGACAAGUUGUUAAUUAGUCCAGUAAGUUUCAGAUUAAAAUUAAAGAAUAAAUUAAACUAACAGUCUACAAGUGAGAAACAAAAAACAGAUGAGAAGAGAGGGUAGGAUGCACGUAUAUAUUUUAACAUAUACCUGCUUGUGUACAUAGCUGGAUGCACAUCAGGUUAGAAUACUAAAUUUGUAGCUUUUUUUAUAAUAAAAUUGCACUUUGGAUUUGCUCCUGUAGUUAGAAGAAACCAAUGAGCCUAAUAUAUGAAAUUGUAGCUUUUUUUAUAAUAAAAUGAAAUUUUCUUUUAAGAAAAAGAGAGAAAAUAUACAAGAGAUAGAUAUACAUACAUAAAACAUAAGCUGGAUAGUGAUAGAUUUUACAUGAAAUCUUCCCUUUAUAUUAAUGUUGAUUUUCCUUGCACCACUUUAAAUUCAUGUCAACUUUCACCUAGUUAUAACAACACUUUAAAUUCUUGUCAACAUUUAGUAGUUAUAUUACACUAAUUAGUUUCAUGUUUUGGAUUUUUUAUUAUAUUGAAAUAAUUAGUAUCAUGGGAUGGCUUUUGAGUAACUUUUAUGUUGCACAUUUGCACUAAUUAGUAUCAUAUCUUCUCAUUCAAAGGCUUUUAUUGCUAAUAAUUGUUUGAUUUAGUGAAAUGAGGUUUUCACUAUGAAGAAGUACAAACCAAAGGAUAAGUCAAUCAACUUCAAGCCAAGAACUACUUGAGGCUACUCAACCUAGUGGCAACUCGAAAAUAACAUUACAGCCCAAAUCCCAACAAACUGAAGAGAGGGUCAUUACAAAGCACAAGGACUUGGGGUGCUACAAACUAGCAGAUAAAUAGAUUGAUCUUUGUUUUAAUGAAGAUUAGCUUGCCAAUGAAAACUCAAUGAGGUUAACAAAAUUCUUGGGUUCUAUUGCACGAAAUUAUAAUGAGCUAUCUAUAGAUUAGAUCUUGGAAAGAUAUACUAAAUGAAACAAAAAAGGAGUUGUCGAAAGUUAUUUAGGUACAGAUGUAUUUUUUUUGUUCUUAAUAUGUGUGUUAUAUUCAUAAAUGAUAGUUUUCUCAUGUGGUUGUAGACAAAAUUGGAUAUGAAAGAAAACUCCAAGGAUUUUGUAUACAAAUCCUUGUUGAAGUGGAGGGAUUAGAAGUGUACGUGAAAAUAUUUUGAUCCAGAUCCUGAUAAUGUGAUGAAGUACAAUUCAAAGAUGAUCGAGUUGAUCCAAUCCAAUGGAAAAACAUUGUGCAAUAUUAAUGAUAAAAAAACAUUGUGUAAUAUUUGACAUUUGAGCAAGGGAGAGUAAGUCUCUUAAAUGUUUUAGCAUUGGAAUUUUUAGCUGAUGGUAUGAUAAUUUAAUACUUUCUUUUGUGGGUGUAGGCACAUGAGACUAAUAAGCUUUACUGUUCGAAGCAAAAUUUCAGUCAUUUAGCGGGCUAAAAAAGCUUUGCAAGGAUACACGAAGAAUUGGUAAUAAAGUGUAUUUUUGACUUUUCUAAGUGUUGCAUCACGUAUAUUUAGAAGUUUGUAUGUUAACAAACACUAAUUAUUUUUAUAAUGAUAGAGGAAAGAAAGAGGGCAUGAUGUGUCCUGUGUAGAAAUAUUCUUUAUAACACAUAUAAUGAAAGAUAGACCCUUAUGAUAGUAUGUAUAGUUCGUUUAUUGGUGGAAUUUUUGAUUUAAUAUUAUUCAUUUUAAAACAGUUUGUAUAAAUAAUUCAUAAAAAAAACAGUUUUUAUAAAUACAUUGGUUUUCCUUUGUAUAGAAUCAAAUGCAAAAUUCUAUGGUGCAAGUCAAGGAGUUUGAGUGGGGCAAAUGGCUCUUGCCUAGAAGAUGUUUGUGCUCGUGUAAUGGGAGAAGAACACUGUGGUCAAGUGUAUGAAUUUGGAUUGUAUCCAAUUCCAACUAGUAUUAAAAGCUGUGAUAAAUAUGUGACAUUGUUGAAAGAAGCAAACAAGAGUAAAAUAAAGGCCAAGGAGCACGUAAGAUCAAUUAGAGCACGAGCAAAGAAGGUUGGGAUAGAAGUGUCUAAUUUAAGGGAGGAGAUGUCAUCCAUGUGAAAUCAAGUGGAGGAUUUGAUAUCUAUGUUGCAAAGUUUAUAGGGCAACUAGGUUUUCAUAGUUUGAACAGGGCAUCUAGGUUUUUGACGUUCAACCAAAGAGCGAACAGGGCAUCACAGUCGAAUAGGGCGUCUAGGUUUUCAUCACAGUUUGAGCAGGGCAUCUAGGUUCAUUGUCUGAAUAGGGGUUUAGAAGGCAGAGAAGGAAAAAGUGGGGGUGCCUCAACUGCAUGACAGUCGUUGCGGUGAAUGCCAUUUUUUAGAAGUAAAUCGUGUUUAAUAGAUGUUACUCUCCUACAGAAGGGAAAUACUAUCUCCACGACUGUUCACUCUAUGUGAUGCCAUACAGACUUCUGAAGUCUACUAGAUAGACAUUAAGCAAUAGAAACAAAAUUUUCUUAA
Nelumbo nucifera (sacred lotus) is the source of this 6136-nucleotide non-coding RNA. The record is from RefSeq and is a predicted model, not a curated record. Lineage: Eukaryota; Viridiplantae; Streptophyta; Magnoliopsida; Proteales; Nelumbonaceae.